GCCUAACACAUGCAAGUCGAGCGGUAGCACAGAGAGCUUGCUCUCGGGUGACGAGCGGCGGACGGGUGAGUAAUGUCUGGGAAACUGCCUGAUGGAGGGGGAUAACUACUGGAAACGGUAGCUAAUACCGCAUAACGUCGCAAGACCAAAGUGGGGGACCUUCGGGCCUCAUGCCAUCAGAUGUGCCCAGAUGGGAUUAGCUAGUAGGUGAGGUAACGGCUCACCUAGGCGACGAUCCCUAGCUGGUCUGAGAGGAUGACCAGCCACACUGGGACUGAGACACGGUCCAGACUCCUACGGGAGGCAGCAGUGGGGAAUAUUGCACAAUGGGCGCAAGCCUGAUGCAGCCAUGCCGCGUGUAUGAAGAAGGCCUUCGGGUUGUAAAGUACUUUCAGCGGGGAGGAAGGCGAUAAGGUUAAUAACCUUGUCGAUUGACGUUACCCGCAGAAGAAGCACCGGCUAACUCCGUGCCAGCAGCCGCGGUAAUACGGAGGGUGCAAGCGUUAAUCGGAAUUACUGGGCGUAAAGCGCACGCAGGCGGUCUGUCAAGUCGGAUGUGAAAUCCCCGGGCUCAACCUGGGAACUGCAUUCGAAACUGGCAGGCUAGAGUCUUGUAGAGGGGGGGUAGAAUUCCAGGUGUAGCGGUGAAAUGCGUAGAGAUCUGGAGGAAUACCGGUGGCGAAGGCGGCCCCCUGGACAAAGACUGACGCUCAGGUGCGAAAGCGUGGGGAGCAAACAGGAUUAGAUACCCUGGUAGUCCACGCCGUAAACGAUGUCGAUUUGGAGGUUGUGCCCUUGAGGCGUGGCUUUCGGAGCUAACGCGUUAAAUCGACCGCCUGGGGAGUACGGCCGCAAGGUUAAAACUCAAAUGAAUUGACGGGGGCCCGCACAAGCGGUGGAGCAUGUGGUUUAAUUCGAUGCAACGCGAAGAACCUUACCUGGUCUUGACAUCCACAGAACUUAGCAGAGAUGCUUUGGUGCCUUCGGGAACUGUGAGACAGGUGCUGCAUGGCUGUCGUCAGCUCGUGUUGUGAAAUGUUGGGUUAAGUCCCGCAACGAGCGCAACCCUUAUCCUUUGUUGCCAGCGGUUAGGCCGGGAACUCAAAGGAGACUGCCAGUGAUAAACUGGAGGAAGGUGGGGAUGACGUCAAGUCAUCAUGGCCCUUACGACCAGGGCUACACACGUGCUACAAUGGCGCAUACAAAGAGAAGCGACCUCGCGAGAGCAAGCGGACCUCAUAAAGUGCGUCGUAGUCCGGAUUGGAGUCUGCAACUCGACUCCAUGAAGUCGGAAUCGCUAGUAAUCGUAGAUCAGAAUGCUACGGUGAAUACGUUCCCGGGCCUUGUGCACACCGCCCGUCACACCAUGGGAGUGGGUUGCAAAAGAAGUAGGUAGCUUAACCUUCGGGAGGGCGCUUACCACUUUGUGAUUCAUGACUGGGGUGAAG
Molecule: ribosomal RNA, 1448 nt
Filed under: uncultured organism
Description: 16S ribosomal RNA
Rfam family: Bacterial small subunit ribosomal RNA
Source: RNAcentral